AUUGAACGCUGGCGGCAGGCCUAACACAUGCAAGUCGAACGGUAACAGGAAGCAGCUUGCUGCUUUGCUGACGAGUGGCGGACGGGUGAGUAAUGUCUGGGAAACUGCCCGAUGGAGGGGGAUAACUACUGGAAACGGUAGCUAAUACCGCAUAACGUCGCAAGACCAAAGAGGGGGACCUUAUGGCCUCUUGCCAUCGGAUGUGCCCAGAUGGGAUUAGCUAGUAGGUGGGGUAACGGCUCACCUAGGCGACGAUCCCUAGAUGGUCUGAGAGGAUGACCAGCGACACUGGAACUGAGACACGGUCAAGACUACUACGGGAGGCAGCAGUGGGGAAUAUUGCACAAUGGGCGGAAGCCUGAUGCAGCAAUGCCGCGUGUAUGAAGAAGGCCUUCGGGUUGUAAAGUACUUUCAGCGGGGAGGAAGGGAGUAAAGUUAAUACCUUUGCUCAUUGACGUUACCCGCAGAAGAAGCACCGGCUAACUCCGUG
This 490-nucleotide ribosomal RNA is filed under the name uncultured bacterium. RNAcentral describes it as "partial 16S ribosomal RNA". It matches the Rfam family "Bacterial small subunit ribosomal RNA", at positions 30 to 507 of the family's 1533-position model. The record is from RNAcentral.